Molecule: long non-coding RNA, 291 nt
Filed under: Phoenix dactylifera (date palm)
Lineage: Eukaryota; Viridiplantae; Streptophyta; Magnoliopsida; Arecales; Arecaceae
Description: long non-coding RNA (PDAC_LNC007364)
Source: RNAcentral
AGGGGCGGGGGGUGUAUUUGGAAGGCGAUUAGAGGGUGGUACUGUGAUGAUAGGGGUCCUUAGAGUACCACUGCAGAACUGAAUCAUCGAUGGUGGUCCAAGUUUUUGUUAUGCCUGUAGGUUUUUGGGGUGUUCCUGAGAUAUUGGAUGGACAAGUGAUAAAAAUAGAAUGCAGAAAGUUGUAUGCUUGGGAGGUCAUGAUAUUUAUGAGUAUUCCUUCAAUUUCUGGUUUUCUAAUGGGCUUGCUGCAUACUAUUGAGGCGAUGAAAAGGGAGAGUGGAGUGAAUUUUC